UUUGUAAAAGGAAUGUAGAGGAUGUGAUUUUUCAUGUUAUGAGUAAAGGUUAUCUUCUUUUGAUCCAUUAACAGCUGUGGAACGUGAAGAAGUAAGCCUUUCCUUGGCUACACGUGGUAUUUCAGAGGCACUGAUGAGCAGGACCUUUGCUUCAAGAGAGCCAGCUACUGCCACCAGAUUAAAAGAAAAAGAUGAUAAGUCUGAAGCAAAAUGUGACCUAGAUGCAGAAGACCCAAGAGAAGAUGGGGGCUAAGAUUACUGUCAACCAAACAAUCACUCUGGAAACAGUGAUUCACAUUAUGCUGAAAAUGUAGUUGUUCAGCCAGCAGCAGAAAAUGUAUCACAUAAAAGAAGAUCAGAAGGGGCAGAUCAACACAUGCCUCCCAGGACUACAUAAUAUGUUGCUGGGCAUUGAUGGCAUCACGGAGAGGACUGUAGCAGAGUUUGGAAAGACCAGAUAAGGCAGAUUGGCGAGUCAUAACAAAGUGAGAGUAAAUCCAGGACCUACACCAUAUUCAAAGUGGUAUGUUUCUGACACUGGUGUAGUGAGUGCAUCAUCUGUUUACUGAUGAAUCAAUACUGAAAGACAUAAAAUACUGAACAGAAACAGAGGCAAAACAUGUUCUAGGAAAUGAAAUGUGAAGUGUAAGUUUGGAGAAACUGGACGAUUUCAUUGCUUUAUUGUAUGCUCGUGGUCUCCUUGGAGCCAAUAGUACUUAACUUGAAGAACUGUGGUCUAAAAAGUGGAGCCCCACCUAUCUUCAGUAAUACAAUGGGCAGAAAAUGUUUUUGAGAAAUUCCAAGAUUUUUGUGCUCCGACAUUAGAAACACAAGAUCAGAACAUUUGAAGACAGGUAAAUUCAUUUCAGUAUCAAAGGUUUGGAACACAAAUUCAUUGAAAAUUGCCAUCUUACCUACAUUCCAGGUGAAAAUCUGACUGCUGAUGAACAGCUUUUUCCAAGCAAAACAAGACGUCCACUCUUACAGUAUAUGUCAAACAAACCAGAAAAAUUUGGUAUAAAAUUUUGGCUUCUUGUCAACGUUGACUCAAAGUUUCUGUGCAGUGGGUUCAAUUUUUUUUUACAACAGUGAAACUGGGUGAGAAGUUGAGAAUAAAAGGUACUAGCAUUGCUGGAACAAUUAGACGAUCAAGAAGAGAAAUCCCUAAUGCUGUGAAGGCUAAUCCUUAUGUCUCAGAUCUCUUCAAACAUUAUGCCGGGAUGGUUCCUCUGAAAGGGCACGGCCGACUUCCUUCCCAAUCCUUCCCUAAUCUGAUGAGACCGAUGACCACGCUGUCUGGUCUCCUUCCCCAAACCAACCAACCAACCAAUCUUCAAACAUUCCAGUGGCACUCUCACUGUAUAUAAAGGCAAACAAAACCAGAAUGUGCUCCUGUAUAGCACUUUGCAUUCAGAAAUUGAACUUCAAACAGGUCCGAAAAAAACUCCAGAAACAAUGGAUUUCUACAACAAUACAAAAUAUGGUGUUGAUGUGGUGGAUCAAAUGGCAAGAAAAUACGCUGUUUGAGCUGGUAGUCAUAGAUUGCCAGUUCAUGUAUUUUAUAAUAUUCUUGACUUGGCAACUAUCAAUUCAUAGAUCGUUUUCAAGAAAGUAAUAGAGUUUAAGAUCACUCAUUGAAAUUAUAUCCUGAAGCUAGCAGAGGAGCUUCGUAUGGGGUAUAUUGACUUUAAAAGUAACUUGGUGAGAACAGACACUGAAUCUAGAAACUCUGUGGAAGUAAAUAAAAUGAUUAGACAAUGUCAAAUAAAGAAGUGUAGGAACAAGACAAGUUAUAUCUGCAAAAAGUGCAAACCCCGAGUGUGUGGUUCUUGUUCAAAGGAUGUAACUACGGACGUGGUAUGUAGUUCCGGCUACUAAAGAUAUGCAAUUCACAUCAGCGAGUGCAAAUAAACCGAAGAAAAAGUCAGGUAGUGAUUUGCAUAUAUGUUGUGGUAUGUGGACUUGACAAACAGAUUUCAUGACUACAAGUGCACUACAUAAAAUAUUACAGUAAUUAAUUUUAUAGUAAUGAGUACACAAUGAAUAUGUCAGCUUCUUUACUACAAAAAUUUGAAAUAAAAACUGUGUUUGUUAA
Schistocerca nitens (vagrant locust) is the source of this 2095-nucleotide long non-coding RNA. RefSeq lists it as uncharacterized. NCBI's taxonomy places the organism in Eukaryota, Metazoa, Arthropoda, Insecta, Orthoptera, Acrididae. The record is from RefSeq and is a predicted model, not a curated record. The transcript is spliced from 3 exons.